This 303-nucleotide ribosomal RNA is filed under the name uncultured bacterium. RNAcentral describes it as "bacterial SSU rRNA". It matches the Rfam family "Bacterial small subunit ribosomal RNA", at positions 355 to 675 of the family's 1533-position model. The record is from RNAcentral.
UGGGGAAUAAUGGACAAUGCGCGCAAGCGUGAUCCUGCUACGCCGCGUGAGUGAAGAAGGCUUUAGAGUUGUAAAACUCUUUUAGUGGGAAAGAUAAUGACGGUACCCACAGAAAAAGUCCCGGCUAACUCCGUGCCAGCUGCCGCGGUGACACGGAGGGGGCGAGCGUUACUCGGCAUUACUGGGCGUAAAGAGUGUGUAGGCGGUUUGGUAAGUUGAAAGUGAAAUCCCAGGGCUCAACCUUGGAACUGCUUUCAAAACUGCUAGACUAGAGUUGGAUAGAGGGUGAUGGAAUUUCUAGUG